Molecule: small nuclear RNA, 25 nt
Filed under: Arabidopsis thaliana (thale cress)
Lineage: Eukaryota; Viridiplantae; Streptophyta; Magnoliopsida; Brassicales; Brassicaceae
Description: snRNA_13163
Source: RNAcentral
AAAGUGGUGGUCCAGGAGAGAUCGA